Molecule: ribosomal RNA, 461 nt
Filed under: uncultured Methylomirabilota bacterium
Lineage: Bacteria; Methylomirabilota (SeqCode)
Description: bacterial SSU rRNA
Rfam family: Bacterial small subunit ribosomal RNA
Source: RNAcentral
UGGGCUUGACAUCCCACGAACCUGCCUGAAAGGGCGGGGUGCCCGCAAGGGAGCGUGGAGACAGGUGGUGCAUGGCUGUCGUCAGCUCGUGUCGUGAGAUGUUGGGUUAAGUCCCGCAACGAGCGCAACCCUCACCCCUUGUUGCCAUCAGGUCAGGCUGGGCACUCUAGGGGAACUGCCCCGGUCAACGGGGAGGAAGGUGGGGACGACGUCAAGUCAUCAUGCCCCUUACGUCCUGGGCUACACACGUGCUACAAUGGCCGGCACAAAGGGAUGCAAGACCGCGAGGUGGAGCUAAUCCCAAAAAGCUGGUCUAAGUUCAGAUUGCAGUCUGCAACUCGACUGCAUGAAGGAGGAAUCGCUAGUAAUCGCGCAUCAGCACGGCGCGGUGAAUACGUUCCCGGGCCUUGUACACACCGCCCGUCACACCACGAAAGCUGGCUGUACUCGAAGUCGCUGAG